CCUACGGGGGGCAGCAGUGAGGAAUAUUGGUCAAUGGACGAGAGUCUGAACCAGCCAAGUAGCGUGAAGGAUGACUGCCCUAUGGGUUGUAAACUUCUUUUAUAUGGGAAUAAAACGUUCCACGUGUGGGAUUUUGUAUGUACCAUAUGAAUAAGGAUCGGCUAACUCCGUGCCAGCAGCCGCGGUAAUACGGAGGAUCCGAGCGUUAUCCGGAUUUAUUGGGUUUAAAGGGAGCGUAGGUGGAUUGUUAAGUCAGUUGUGAAAGUUUGCGGCUCAACCGUAAAAUUGCAGUUGAUACUGGCAGUCUUGAGUACAGUAGAGGUGGGCGGAAUUCGUGGUGUAGCGGUGAAAUGCUUAGAUAUCACGAAGAACUCCGAUUGCGAAGGCAGUUCACUGGACUGCAACUGACACUGAGGCUCGAAAGUGUGGGUAUCAAACAGGAUUAGAUACCCGUGUAGUC
RNAcentral lists this ribosomal RNA (460 nucleotides) under uncultured bacterium. RNAcentral's name for it is "partial 16S ribosomal RNA". It matches the Rfam family "Bacterial small subunit ribosomal RNA", at positions 338 to 795 of the family's 1533-position model. The record is from RNAcentral.